Long non-coding RNA from Solanum verrucosum, 353 nucleotides. RefSeq lists it as uncharacterized. NCBI's taxonomy places the organism in Eukaryota, Viridiplantae, Streptophyta, Magnoliopsida, Solanales, Solanaceae. The record is from RefSeq and is a predicted model, not a curated record. The transcript is spliced from 3 exons.
CUAAAAGUAAUUUCAACAUACAACUUUCCUCCAUUUUUUUUGUCAAAACCAAAUCCAAAGCCUUUAAAACACCUGUUAUACUAAUUAUGUGAUGACCUGUAAAAUUACCACAAAAUUAAAAUCAUGAACUUAUGUGACUUGAAAUGCAGGCCUGCUCCAUAUACGCUAUAUGAUCCAAGAUAUGCUGACAUUGGUCUACCGGUGGAUCCUUAUUUACGUGCAAUGAAGCUGAAUCCACACUUUUCAAUGCAAAAAGCGACAAGUGAGGAAAGUUCAACCACUAAAAGAAAACGGAGAGAAGUUGUUGAGCCAGAACAUAGACAGAGCAGGAUAGAUUAUCCUCAGGCGAUCAG